UGGGGAAUAUUGGACAAUGGGCGCAAGCCUGAUCCAGCCAUGCCGCGUGAGUGAUGAAGGCCCUAGGGUUGUAAAGCUCUUUCACCGGUGAAGAUAAUGACGGUAACCGGAGAAGAAGCCCCGGCUAACUUCGUGCCAGCAGCCGCGGUAAUACGAAGGGGGCUAGCGUUGUUCGGAUUUACUGGGCGUAAAGCGCACGUAGGCGGACUUUUAAGUCAGGGGUGAAAUCCCGGGGCUCAACCCCGGAACUGCCUUUGAUACUGGAAGUCUUGAGUAUGGUAGAGGUGAGUGGAAUUCCGAGUGUAGAGGUGAAAUUCGUAGAUAUUCGGAGGAACACCAGUGGCGAAGGCGGCUCACUGGACCAUUACUGACGCUGAGGUGCGAAAGCGUGGGGAGCAAACAGGAUUAGAUACCCCUGUAGUCCCUGAGCGGGCUGGCAAGGCGCAU
This 447-nucleotide ribosomal RNA is filed under the name uncultured bacterium. RNAcentral's name for it is "bacterial SSU rRNA". It matches the Rfam family "Bacterial small subunit ribosomal RNA", at positions 355 to 825 of the family's 1533-position model. The record is from RNAcentral.